RNAcentral lists this long non-coding RNA (258 nucleotides) under Carica papaya (papaya). RNAcentral describes it as "long non-coding RNA (CPAP_LNC008761)". Lineage: Eukaryota; Viridiplantae; Streptophyta; Magnoliopsida; Brassicales; Caricaceae. The record is from RNAcentral.
UAAGGAUACGUGUAAAAGUGGCCAAAAUAAGUCAGAUUGAGGUGAACUGCCGCUGUGGGCGACGGAGUUGGCGCUGGAGCACGGCGGCGCCCGCUAUGUCGGAACUCCAAAGUUGGCUAGAAAGAGUUUUGGAUUCUGAUUUUGAAUUUUUAGGGUAUUCUUAUGUAUAUGACGAAUGUUUUAGAUUCUGCAAUAAAAAUUCAAGAAAUUCAAUACCCGUUAGGAGGCGUGGUAGACAACGUGACGUUUCAAAAAUAU